AGGGCACCACCAGGAGUGGAGCCUGCGGCUUAAUUUGACUCAACACGGGAAAACUCACCCGGCCCGGACACUGGAAGGAUUGACAGAUUGAGAGCUCUUUCUUGAUUCAGUGGGUGGUGGUGCAUGGCCGUUCUUAGUUGGUGGAGUGAUUUGUCUGGUUAAUUCCGAUAACGAACGAGACUCUAGCCUACUAAAUAGAUCGUCGGCUUACAAACGCCGGCGAGACUUCCUAGAGGGACAGGCGGUGAUUCAACCGCACGAAACAGAGCAAUAACAGGUCUGUGAUGCCCUUAGAUGUCCGGGGCCGCACGCGCGCUACACUGAAGUGAUCAGCGUGCUUUUUCAACCUACUCUGUCAAGAGUGGGGAACCCAAUGAACCUUCUUCGUGAUUGGGAUAGGGGAUUGUAAUUAUUCCCCUUGAACGAGGAAUUCCCAGUAAGCGCGAGUCAUAAGCUCGCGUUGAUUACGUCCCUGCCCUUUGUACACACCGCCCGUCGCUACUACCGAUUGAAUGUUUU
RNAcentral lists this ribosomal RNA (519 nucleotides) under uncultured eukaryote. RNAcentral describes it as "SSU rRNA". It matches the Rfam family "Eukaryotic small subunit ribosomal RNA", at positions 1161 to 1699 of the family's 1831-position model. The record is from RNAcentral.